CUGAACUUAAGCAUAUCAAUAAGCGGAGGAA
Molecule: ribosomal RNA, 31 nt
Filed under: Beauveria bassiana
Lineage: Eukaryota; Fungi; Ascomycota; Sordariomycetes; Hypocreales; Cordycipitaceae
Also listed under: 2 other names
Description: partial 28S ribosomal RNA
Source: RNAcentral